GGGCAUGUGGUUAAACCCGAAUAGCAGAGGGUCCAGACUCAGAAUCUGGCAGCCUUGGGGGUGCAAGUCCCUUCAUGCCCACCA
This 84-nucleotide transfer RNA is filed under the name Verrucomicrobiota bacterium. RNAcentral describes it as "tRNA-Leu". It matches the Rfam family "tRNA". Rfam says of the family: Transfer RNA (tRNA) molecules are approximately 80 nucleotides in length. Their secondary structure includes four short double-helical elements and three loops (D, anti-codon, and T loops). Further hydrogen bonds mediate the characteristic L-shaped molecular structure. tRNAs have two regions of fundamental functional importance: the anti-codon, which is responsible for specific mRNA codon recognition, and the 3' end, to which the tRNAs corresponding amino acid is attached (by aminoacyl-tRNA synthetases). tRNAs cope with the degeneracy of the genetic code in two manners: having more than one tRNA (with a specific anti-codon) for a particular amino acid; and 'wobble' base-pairing, i.e. permitting non-standard base-pairing at the 3rd anti-codon position. RNAcentral also lists the same sequence under 2 other names. Lineage: Bacteria; Pseudomonadati; Verrucomicrobiota. The record is from RNAcentral.